ACCUACGGGGGGCAGCAGUGGGGAAUAUUGCCCAAUGGGCGAAAGCCUGAUGCAGCAACGCCGCGUGAAGGAAGAAGGCCUUCGGGUCGUAAACUUCUGUCCUUGGGGAAGAAGAACUGACGGUACCCAAGGAGGAAGCCCCGGCUAACUACGUGCCAGCAGCCGCGGUAAUACGUAGGGGGCAAGCGUUAUCCGGAUUUACUGGGUGUAAAGGGAGCGUAGACGGCAUGGCAAGUCUGAUGUGAAAACCCGGGGCUCAACCCCGGGCCUGCAUUGGAAACUGUCAGGCUAGAGUGUCGGAGAGG
RNAcentral lists this ribosomal RNA (305 nucleotides) under uncultured bacterium. RNAcentral's name for it is "bacterial SSU rRNA". It matches the Rfam family "Bacterial small subunit ribosomal RNA", at positions 337 to 657 of the family's 1533-position model. The record is from RNAcentral.